This 86-nucleotide transfer RNA is filed under the name Coxiella-like endosymbiont. RNAcentral describes it as "tRNA-Leu". It matches the Rfam family "tRNA". Rfam says of the family: Transfer RNA (tRNA) molecules are approximately 80 nucleotides in length. Their secondary structure includes four short double-helical elements and three loops (D, anti-codon, and T loops). Lineage: Bacteria; Pseudomonadati; Pseudomonadota; Gammaproteobacteria; Legionellales; Coxiellaceae. The record is from RNAcentral.
GGCCGAGGUGGCGAAACUGGUAGACGCGCCGGACUCAAAAUCCGAUGGUGGCAACACUGUGGGGGUUCGAUUCCCCCCUCGGUACA